This 66-nucleotide transfer RNA is filed under the name Meretrix lamarckii (Korean hard clam). RNAcentral describes it as "tRNA-Tyr". Lineage: Eukaryota; Metazoa; Mollusca; Bivalvia; Venerida; Veneridae. RNAcentral also lists the same sequence under 1 other name. The record is from RNAcentral.
GGAAAGGCGUCUGUUGAAGUGUUAAGUUGUAACCUUAAUUAUAGGAUUAAAGUUUCCUUCUUUCUA